This 1823-nucleotide ribosomal RNA is filed under the name Salmonella enterica. RNAcentral's name for it is "partial 23S ribosomal RNA". It matches the Rfam family "Bacterial large subunit ribosomal RNA", at positions 1154 to 2925 of the family's 2925-position model. Lineage: Bacteria; Pseudomonadati; Pseudomonadota; Gammaproteobacteria; Enterobacterales; Enterobacteriaceae. The record is from RNAcentral.
CGUAUCACCCAAGACAACUUUACGGAGUUGACGAUUGACGGAGCGAAGCGACGUCAAAGCGUUCAUUAAAGUCGAGUUGGCUUAGGGAUACGUUCGUUGGGUAGGGGAGCGUUCUGUAAGCCUGUGAAGGUGGCCUGUGAGGGUUGCUGGAGGUAUCAGAAGUGCGAAUGCUGACAUAAGUAACGAUAAAGCGGGUGAAAAGCCCGCUCGCCGGAAGACCAAGGGUUCCUGUCCAACGUUAAUCGGGGCAGGGUGAGUCGACCCCUAAGGCGAGGCCGAAAGGCGUAGUCGAUGGGAAACGGGUUAAUAUUCCCGUACUUGGUGUUACUGCGAAGGGGGGACGGAGAAGGCUAUGUUGGCCGGGCGACGGUUGUCCCGGUUUAAGCGUGUAGGUGUGUGUUCCAGGUAAAUCCGGUUCACUUUAACACUGAGGCGUGACGACGAGGCACUACGGUGCUGAAGCAACAAAUGCCCUGCUUCCAGGAAAAGCCUCUAAGCAUCAGGUAACAUCAAAUCGUACCCCAAACCGACACAGGUGGUCAGGUAGAGAAUACCAAGGCGCUUGAGAGAACUCGGGUGAAGGAACUAGGCAAAAUGGUGCCGUAACUUCGGGAGAAGGCACGCUGACAUGUAGGUGAAGUGAUUUACUCAUGGAGCUGAAGUCAGUCGAAGAUACCAGCUGGCUGCAACUGUUUAUUAAAAACACAGCACUGUGCAAACACGAAAGUGGACGUAUACGGUGUGACGCCUGCCCGGUGCCGGAAGGUUAAUUGAUGGGGUCAGCGCAAGCGAAGCUCCUGAUCGAAGCCCCGGUAAACGGCGGCCGUAACUAUAACGGUCCUAAGGUAGCGAAAUUCCUUGUCGGGUAAGUUCCGACCUGCACGAAUGGCGUAAUGAUGGCCAGGCUGUCUCCACCCGAGACUCAGUGAAAUUGAACUCGCUGUGAAGAUGCAGUGUACCCGCGGCAAGACGGAAAGACCCCGUGAACCUUUACUAUAGCUUGACACUGAACAUUGAGCCUUGAUGUGUAGGAUAGGUGGGAGGCUUUGAAGUGUGGACGCCAGUCUGCAUGGAGCCGACCUUGAAAUACCACCCUUUAAUGUUUGAUGUUCUAACGUGGACCCGUGAUCCGGGUUGCGGACAGUGUCUGGUGGGUAGUUUGACUGGGGCGGUCUCCUCCUAAAGAGUAACGGAGGAGCACGAAGGUUGGCUAAUCCUGGUCGGACAUCAGGAGGUUAGUGCAAUGGCAUAAGCCAGCUUGACUGCGAGCGUGACGGCGCGAGCAGGUGCGAAAGCAGGUCAUAGUGAUCCGGUGGUUCUGAAUGGAAGGGCCAUCGCUCAACGGAUAAAAGGUACUCCGGGGAUAACAGGCUGAUACCGCCCAAGAGUUCAUAUCGACGGCGGUGUUUGGCACCUCGAUGUCGGCUCAUCACAUCCUGGGGCUGAAGUAGGUCCCAAGGGUAUGGCUGUUCGCCAUUUAAAGUGGUACGCGAGCUGGGUUUAGAACGUCGUGAGACAGUUCGGUCCCUAUCUGCCGUGGGCGCUGGAGAACUGAGGGGGGCUGCUCCUAGUACGAGAGGACCGGAGUGGACGCAUCACUGGUGUUCGGGUUGUCAUGCCAAUGGCACUGCCCGGUAGCUAAAUGCGGAAGAGAUAAGUGCUGAAAGCAUCUAAGCACGAAACUUGCCCCGAGAUGAGUUCUCCCUGAGACUUUAAGUCUCCUGAAGGAACGUUGAAGACGACGACGUUGAUAGGCCGGGUGUGUAAGCGCAGCGAUGCGUUGAGCUAACCGGUACUAAUGAACCGUGAGGCUUAACCUUACA